This 362-nucleotide unclassified non-coding RNA is filed under the name Hevea brasiliensis (rubber tree). The record is from RNAcentral. Lineage: Eukaryota; Viridiplantae; Streptophyta; Magnoliopsida; Malpighiales; Euphorbiaceae.
GUUGGAUGUGAAAGGAAAUUUAAGAAAAGGAAGAAAUAAUGCUAUUUCUGGGAUUUGAACCCAGCUCAUAGAUUCCAAUAAAAUGGAAUCCCGUGUUUUCCCGUUUUGCAUCUUUACUGCAUUUACUACGAAAAGAUGAAAAAUAGCUCAAAGUAGUGGAGAAUUGAAUUCUGAUUUUCUAUUUGAAAAAGUUUUCAAAGUAACCACUAGCUUCCAAUUUUUAGUUUUCUUUGAAUAAUUUUCUGGAAGACAAAGUUGUUUCCCACAACUAAACAGUCUCUUUGUAUUUUGCUAUACAAAUGCAACUUCUGGGGCAGUGACAGGGUAAUCUUUCACCAUGCAACUGAACUUUGAGUGCAAAU